CCCUGGCUCAGGACGAACGCUGGCGGCGUGCUUAACACAUGCAAGUCGAGCGGUAAGGCCCUUCGGGGUACACGAGCGGCGAACGGGUGAGUAACACGUGGGUGAUCUGCCCUGCACUUCGGGAUAAGCCUGGGAAACUGGGUCUAAUACCGGAUAYGACCAAAGGCUGCAUGGCUUUUGGUGGAAAGGUUUACUGGUGCAGGAUGGGCCCGCGGCCUAUCAGCUUGUUGGUGGGGUAAUGGCCUACCAAGGCGACGACGGGUAGCCGACCUGAGAGGGUGACCGGCCACACUGGGACUGAGACACGGCCCAGACUCCUACGGGAGGCAGCAGUGGGGAAUAUUGCACAAUGGGCGAAAGCCUGAUGCAGCGACGCCGCGUGAGGGAUGACGGCCUUCGGGUUGUAAACCUCUUUCAGCAGGGACGAAGCGAAAGUGACGGUACCUGCAGAAGAAGCACCGGCCAACUA
This 469-nucleotide ribosomal RNA is filed under the name Corynebacterineae bacterium CL6.14. Its description in RNAcentral is "bacterial SSU rRNA". It matches the Rfam family "Bacterial small subunit ribosomal RNA", at positions 17 to 503 of the family's 1533-position model. Lineage: Bacteria; Bacillati; Actinomycetota; Actinomycetes; Mycobacteriales; Corynebacteriaceae. The record is from RNAcentral.